This 83-nucleotide transfer RNA is filed under the name Spirochaetia bacterium. RNAcentral describes it as "tRNA-Leu". It matches the Rfam family "tRNA". Rfam says of the family: Transfer RNA (tRNA) molecules are approximately 80 nucleotides in length. Their secondary structure includes four short double-helical elements and three loops (D, anti-codon, and T loops). Lineage: Bacteria; Pseudomonadati; Spirochaetota; Spirochaetia. The record is from RNAcentral.
GCCGAAAUGGCGGAAUGGUAGACGCAGUGGAUUCAAAAUCCACCGCUGGCAACAGCGUUAGGGUUCAAGUCCCUAUUUCGGCA